This 1230-nucleotide long non-coding RNA is filed under the name Mus spicilegus (steppe mouse). RNAcentral's name for it is "lncRNA (ENSMSIG00000018617.1)". The record is from RNAcentral. Lineage: Eukaryota; Metazoa; Chordata; Mammalia; Rodentia; Muridae.
UCGGCGGGGGUGGGAUGGAGAAGUAGAAGAGGUAAGAGGGAAGCGCCCCCUUACCUGCAAGGAGCAGGCCGAGGACAGACGGACACAGCGACCCUAACACAGGAGAGGAGCAGACGGAUCACUUCCUAGGAAGGGUACGGACAAGUAGGUGCCAAGUUGGGUCCGUGGAACUGGACUCGGGCUGUUCUUCUUUCCUGUUAUGGUUUAUUUCCUUUCUCUGCUCCAAUCCCUGAGAUGCUGAUGCGUAUUUCCACUCCUCACAGGGGAGCCCGCUGAAGACCCUCCUCACCUUGGACACACAUUCUGACGACAGCCUGGGGGAUGUCUGAACGCUCUGCACCUCAGAGUGGUCCUGGGUUUGGUGACACAGUCCCUUGCAUCCUCCGCAAAGAAGCCCAGUCAGGCCGCCACAGAGCUGUGCUCCAGCCCAGGCUAUGGGCUCUGAAGGGGUUGGAAUGAGAAAUUUCUCCCAGCAUCCCCACAUCAUCUGUCUCUGAGGUUCUCAGUGUCCAGGCAAGCCCUUCCCCAGUCUAGGUGAACAGAAUGCAUCAAAGGAUGGGGGAUGGGUAGAGCAAAGAGGAAGAGCUGGCAAUUAAAAAGCAAAAGAAUUAAAAGCACCAAUCGGGAAGAGUAAUUAUCCUUCAGCUGCCGCAGAAAUACAAUUAGGGCCAUGCGCUCUUGGAGCUGCCAGGAUAUUGUGGCUUUUCCUAAUUAAGGAGCGGAUGUGCCCUGCCCGUGCAAUUAGAGGCUGGCCCAGGCAGCAGGGGCCUCGCCUACCUCUAUCAGCGUAGUGAAAGGGCAAUUAACCAUACAGCCUACAUCCCUGGCCCACUCUCCCACUUGACUUUGACUUGUGACUCAUGGACCCUGUGAGGAUGUUCAUCUUGGGCCCUGGGGACCCUUGGGAAGGGAAGAAGAAGCCUGGGACGGGCACUACCUGGCUUGCUUUUUAGGCUUUAUAAUGGACGAAGAAGAUAUAGAGAGAUGAGCUGCCCACCUGCUUCCCGUGAGAGGAAGUGUGUUCAGGGUGGAAAAUAGAACACUCCAGGAAGGGGGGAAAGUAAGAAAAUUAUUUCUCCCCAAUUUUGAACAGAGACUCUAGGGAACUGUAUGAGCAGGGGGCAGGCAGGGUGCAAUGAGAAUAUGGGCAAAGUAAGGGGAGCAGGCACUGAAGCUGGCCUUCCCUACAGGAGUGUCCGGCUGACGGCAGGUGGUGCACCAAGGCCUGGG